CCUACGGGAGGCAGCAGUGGGGAAUAUUGCACAAUGGGCGAAAGCCUGAUGCAGCGACGCCGCGUGAGCGAUGAAGGAUUUCGGUAUGUAAAGCUCUAUCAGCAGGGAAGAAAGUGACGGUACCUGACUAAGAAGCACUGGCUAACUACGUGCCAGCAGCCGCGGUAAUACGUAGGGGGCAAGCGCUAUCCGGAUUUACUGGGUGCAAAGGGAGCGUAGACGGCUUGGCAAGCAAGAAGUGAAAGGCGGGGGCUCAACCCCAGGACUGCAUUUGGAACUGUCAUGCUAGAGUGUCGGAGAGGCAGGCGGAAUUCCAAGUGUAGCGGUGAAAUGCGUAGAUAUUAGGAGGAACACCGGUGGCGAAGGCGGCCUGCUGGACGAUAACUGACGUUGAGGCUCGAAAGCGUGGGGAGCAAACAGGAUUAGAUACCCCAGUAGUC
RNAcentral lists this ribosomal RNA (440 nucleotides) under uncultured bacterium. Its description in RNAcentral is "partial 16S ribosomal RNA". It matches the Rfam family "Bacterial small subunit ribosomal RNA", at positions 338 to 795 of the family's 1533-position model. The record is from RNAcentral.